Molecule: long non-coding RNA, 1375 nt
Filed under: Triticum aestivum (bread wheat)
Lineage: Eukaryota; Viridiplantae; Streptophyta; Magnoliopsida; Poales; Poaceae
Description: long non-coding RNA (TAES_LNC009101)
Source: RNAcentral
UUUAAAAAGAAAAAGAAGUGCCUCUAUAUUUAUAUUAUAGAUAUAUCCACUUAGAUGAAUAAAUAUUAUUAAUGAAUAUGUAUCACAAUCCAUCUCGAGGUAUUUGGAUCAAUACCUAUUCGGUGGAUCUUUUCUUUUCUCUGCCAGGAACCAGAUUUGAACUGGUGACACGAGGAUUUUCAGUCCUCUGCUCUACCAACUGAGCUAUCCUGACCUUUUCUUGUGCAUCAUCCUAGUAGAGUAUUUGUAUCUAUGUCAAUUAAAAGGACUNNNNNNNNNNCAUUUGGAUUCCCCUAUUUUGAAAAUCGCAUAUUAAUUUCCUUCAUAUGAGCAGAAAAAUAGGAUGACUCAAAGAAGUUCUCUACCAGGAACUUUGUACCGCGCACAUUACUUAGCACAACUAGGAAAAUAAGAUAAGAUAAAGAUAAGCAAGACUAAAAAAAUAUUCGUCGGAAUAGCGGAAUACAAAUUAGAUGAAUAAAUAUUAUUAAUGAAUAUGUAUCACAAUCCAUCUCGAGGUAUUUGGAUCAAUACCUAUUCGGUGGAUCUUUUUUUUUUUUUUUCUCUGCCAGGAACCAGAUUUGAACUGGUGACACGAGGAUUUUCAGUCCUCUGCUCUACCAACUGAGCUAUCCUGACCUUUUCUUGUGCAUCAUCCUAGUAGAGUAUUUGUAUCUAUGUCAAUUAAAAGGACUAAAAAUUAAUUAAAGUGUUUCAAAUUUAAAAUUUGAAAAUGGGGGGGUAGUCCUAUGCAUUGUGCAUGGUUUACUUAAAUAAAACUUAAAAAUAGAGUGAAUAACCAAGAUUUCUUGCCGAUACUCUAAUAAAAAAGAAAUCUAUUCAAUGAAUAGGAUAAGAUCCAUUGAGUUCUCUUCGCAUUCCUUUGUGAAAGAGUAGAAUGAGAAAGCUAAUGAAUCUUAAACCCAUUGAUAAAAAGAAAAAAAAGAGGAUAAAUAAUAAUAAUAUAGUAUAGUUAGGGAAUAAAAGAGGAUUUGGGGAUAGAGGGACUUGAACCCUCACAACUUAUAAAGUCGACGGAUUUUCCUUUUACUAGAAAUUUCAUUGUUGUCAGUAUUGACAUGUAGAAUGGGACUCUCUCUUUGUCCUCGUCCGAUUAAUCCACUUUUUUAAAGAUCUCGAAAACUUUGAAUUUGAAUUGAAGAAUUUGAUUAUUCAAUAUUCGAUUGGAGUGGANNNNNNNNNNAAAAAAAGAGGAUAAAUAAUAAUAAUAUAGUAUAGUUAGGGAAUAAAAGAGGAUUUGGGGAUAGAGGGACUUGAACCCUCACAACUUAUAAAGUCGACGGAUUUUCCUUUUACUAGAAAUUUCAUUGUUGUCAGUAUUGACAUGUAGAAUGGGACUCUCUCUUUGUCCUCG